This is a long non-coding RNA of Neofelis nebulosa (Clouded leopard), 3033 nucleotides long. RefSeq lists it as uncharacterized. The record is from RefSeq and is a predicted model, not a curated record. Lineage: Eukaryota; Metazoa; Chordata; Mammalia; Carnivora; Felidae. The transcript has 7 exons.
UCCAAGAGGCUGUCUCCACUCCGACUCUGAACCUGCCGCCCGCCGCCAGAGGUCUAAAGGAGGCGGUCCAGUUCAAUGUCUCCUCCACCUGGAAUGCUCCCAGACGUGGGAGGAGCCCUUACCGGUUAGCAGCCCCCACCCGGUUCGGCGCGAGGGUCUCAGUUCCGUGCAUUUAAAGCGCAGCUGAGGAAUGCAGCAGCUAAACUCCCCCCAAAGAAGCAGCGCCUCCUCGCCGCGCACCCACUGGCGCCCGAAAGCACCAGAGUCCCCUCCCCCACCCCUCCUUUCCCGAACCUUCAACUUCCAAGCGCCCCAGAUUCAUUUGGAGUAGGAGUAGCGCUUUGGGGCAAUGGGGUAAUUUGGCCCACCGGGGUUCCUUUUGACUCCGACCUAGUUCCGUGGUCCCCGGUCUCCCAGCCUUCCCACACCGCCGCCUCAAAUUCCGAGAGCUGGCUCGGAGAAACGGCGAGGAAUUCCCCAGGGACUGCCCAGCCAGCUUGCCCGCCGCUCCCCGCCCGGUCCCAGAUGCACGGAGAACGCGCGGAGCUCCUACAUCUGCGCAGAGACCCGGGGCGGGGUAGCCGCGGGGUGGGCGCUGGCCACAAGGAGUCCGGGGUGCGUGGCCGUUGCCGAGAAAAGCUUUCGGAAGAGGCAAGAGUAUUCCAGCACAGGGACGUCGACAUGAAGAGAAAGGUGGACGCAAACUCGGUCAUUCAAAGUCUCUCCCACCCCGCCGCCUCCACUACCCAGCAGGGGGAAAAAAAGAGAAGAAGAAAGAAAGAAAGAAACGGGAAGAAAGUAGUUGCGCCGGGCUCUCUCGCGGGGCCGCGCGCGGAGCUGCUCGAUUUUCCUCUCUAGGCAGAAGGGCCUUUCUUGCCCCUUCCCCCUGGCGGCUUGGGUCUAAUGUGCAAACUCCUCCUCCAAACCUUAGACCCUUCCAGCUCUAGAUCUCUCCCCACCUCCUAUCAAGCCCACCCGUCACUCCUUCCCCCACCCCACAACGCGAACACGCCCAAGGACAAUCACUCCCCAGCGAACUCGCUGCUCUCAGGGACCAGUACCCAGGACGCUGUGCGGGAGGUCAAGGACAGCGGAGUCAAGAGCCGGCGUCAGGUUAAAAAAAUCCAAAUUCCUACGACUUGUUUGAGAAUUUGGUCAAACACCGAGAAGCACGGGCACUGCGCCUACCAGAUCAGGCCGAACCCGACGCAGAGCAAGGCUGCGGGGUCCGAGCGGAGUAGCCGCAGAGUGAUGUCUGUGGGUGGAGACUCCCAACUGGUUACAAGCCACAUCCAGAAUUCAAGGCUGGGGGAACCUGGAAAAGGUCACUUCAUCCAUCCUCCUGACCUUGAGACCAGUCCUCACUCUCCACUGGCAAGUUAGGGUAAGCAGGGAGUCCAUGGUUCAGAUGAGAAUGGAAUCAUAAUUGGCAGCAGAUUCGAAGUAUGAAUCACUGGUCCACACUCCAUAUCUCAAAUUGGAAAACUGGCGACAAUGUCGAAUCAAUGAAUGAAUGACUUAUGUUCUUUCAGAUGGGAAAGUGCCUGAGAUUCCUCUGAUCAAAUCCCCCAUUUUACAGAGGAAGUUAUUUAGAGGCUCAUCAGUGAGAGUGUGGAAAUCAAACUUGAUUCCCAGGAUGCUGUUCUUAGUCUCCUUUCUAUACAACUCUCAGGAAAUAAACAUAUCUCAUGCUUUUCUUCUGGAAAUGUUUUCCAUUUUCCUCUAAUUUGUUCCCCACCUUUUCUUCUUUCCUUUAUUUCAUAACUUGCUUCAACUUAGUUUAAUAUUUCAUUUCCUUUAUUUUGUUACCAUUGUGCACCACUGACAAAACAAGAGAAAAUUAACUUCACAUGCAGAGGCCAAGGUUGCAGUAGGAACAGGAAAAGACUUUUAAUCACAGGAGAGGUCAAAGGACAACUUUAAUAGUGGAAUAGAUACUUUCCCAUUGGUUAGUCCUUUCUGAAGAGAGAGAGGACUAAUUAGAUGAAUUCUAUUUUUCAAUAAUGUUAUAGAUAACCUUUUCAGACUUUUCAGAGUGAAUCUUUUUUUCCCAAAAUUAUUCUUCUUGCUUUUUAAAGUCUUCUUUCCUUUAUAUUAAAAAUGGCAAAGGAUCUAUUUUGAUGUGGGAUUAUUUCUUUGGUAGAUUAAACAAUUUUUUUUCUUGCAAUCAAGGUAUCCAUAAAACCUAGAGUCAAAUUAUUUACUCUCUUAUAUAUCUCCUAAUUCCUUCCUUGUAAAAGAGCUGACUGCAAUAUCUGUCCUUGGCAUUAUGGAUCUCUGGAGCCUAGCAGCAUCCAAUAAAUAAGAGCUGAAGAAGACCACAUAUCUACAGGGUUAUGAUGUAAAUGAAAAUGUGACUAUUCUAGAAGACUUCAAGGGGUAGAACUAGGAUUGAUGAGUGGAAUUUACAAGGGUGCAUAUUUCAAGUCAGGAUAAGGGUGAUGAUUCUUACACAGAGAAUUUCCAAAAAUGGAGUCAAUUGCUUCAUAGCUAAUGAGUUUUUUUCUGUCACUGGACAAGCUCAGGCUGGGACCACCUUCAAACAAUGUUGUGGAGGGGCUUCAGAUUUGGAUAGGUGGUUGGACAGUUAAGAUCCCUUCCAAACUUGAACUAUCACAUCUCAGUGAUCUGGUCACUUUAGCAAGUAUGUAUUUUGCCAAAACAUGAUGUAUAUAAGUUGAUAUUAAGUUUAUAGUUGAUAUAUUAAGAUUUUUUUUAGUGUUACAUAAGUAAACAUUUUAUUUUUUAUUUUUUUGACUUUUAAAAAAAUUUAAAUCCAAGUUAGUUAAUAUAUAGGUUAAUAAUGGUUUCAAGAGUAGAAUUUAAUGAUUUAUCACUUACAUAUAACACUCAGUGCUCAUCCCAACAAGUACCCACCUCAGUGCCCAUCACACAUUUAGCCCAUCCCCCCACCCAACACCCCUCCAGCAACCCUCAGUUUGUUUUCUGUAUUCAAGAGUCUCUUAUGGUUUGCCUCCCUCUCUGUUUUUAUCUUAUUUUUCCUUCAAUAAACAUUUUAAAUUAUAAUAGUUA